CAGCAGGUUGGAAACCCUCUUUUUCUACAAUCUACUAGGGUACUAUUCGGACCAAAUUGAGGCCUAUACUGAAAAACUGAUUAUCCCGUGAUAAAAACUAGAAAAAAGCUGUCAGUAAAAAUGCUGUGCAAUAUGUGGAUUCAUGUCACAAAUUUAAACCUCUGCAUUUAUUCAGCAAGUUUGGAAUACCUUUUUGUAGAAUAUACAAAGGGAUGUUUCACACCUAUAAAAGCCUAUAGUAAAAAAGUUGGAUACACUCUUGUUGUAGAAUCUACAAAGAGACAUUUUGAAGUUCAUUGAGGUCUAUAGUGAAAAACCAAAUAUCCAGUGAUAGAAACUAUAAAGAAGCUAUCUCUGAAAAUACUUUAUGAUGUGUGAUUUCAUUUCACAAGUUGAACUUUUCUUUUGAUUCAACAGGUUGGAAACACUCUUUUGUAAAAUCUACAAAGAAACAUUUUGGAGUCCAUUGAGGCCUAUAGUGAAAAACUGAAUAUUUCGCCUUGAAAACCAGAAACAAGCUAUCUGUGAAAAUGCUUUGUGAUGGAAGAUUUAUCUCACAGAGUUAAACGUUUGUAUUGAUUCAGCUGGCUGGCAACACUCUUUUUGUAAAAUCUACAAUGGGACAUUUCAGAGACCAUUGAAGUCUACAGAAAAAGACUGAAUAUCCCAUGAUUAAAACUAGAAACAAGC
RNAcentral lists this long non-coding RNA (690 nucleotides) under Homo sapiens (human). Its description in RNAcentral is "long intergenic non-protein coding RNA 2002". The record is from RNAcentral. Lineage: Eukaryota; Metazoa; Chordata; Mammalia; Primates; Hominidae.